Molecule: ribosomal RNA, 206 nt
Filed under: uncultured bacterium
Lineage: Bacteria
Description: partial 16S ribosomal RNA
Rfam family: Bacterial small subunit ribosomal RNA
Source: RNAcentral
UACGUAGGCGGCUUUGUAAGUUAGAGGUGAAAGCCCGGGGCUCAACCCCGGAAUUGCCUUUAAGACUGCAUCGCUUGAAUCAUGGAGAGGUGAGUGGAAUUCCGAGUGUAGAGGUGAAAUCCGUAGAUAUUCGGAAGAACACCAGUGGCGAAGGCGACUCACUGGACAUGUAUUGACGCUGAGGUACGAAAGCGUGGGAGCAAACA